RNAcentral lists this ribosomal RNA (250 nucleotides) under uncultured bacterium. RNAcentral's name for it is "partial 16S ribosomal RNA". It matches the Rfam family "Bacterial small subunit ribosomal RNA", at positions 524 to 774 of the family's 1533-position model. The record is from RNAcentral.
UACGUAGGUGGCAAGCGUUGUCCGGAUUUAUUGGGCGUAAAGCGCGCGCAGGCGGCUAUGUAAGUCUGAUGUUAAAGCCCGAGGCUCAACCUCGGUUCGCAUUGGAAACUGUGUAGCUUGAGUGCAGAAGAGGAAAGCGGUAUUCCACGUGUAGCGGUGAAAUGCGUAGAGAUGUGGAGGAACACCAGUGGCGAAGGCGGCUUUCUGGUCUGUAACUGACGCUGAGGCGCGAAAGCGUGGGGAGCAAACA